AUUACAUUAGUAUAAUUGGAGUAUAUCUGAUUUCCAAUCAGGGGGUUGAAAGAAAUGUAAUU
This 62-nucleotide transfer RNA is filed under the name Mesobuthus eupeus (lesser Asian scorpion). RNAcentral describes it as "tRNA-Gly". The record is from RNAcentral. Lineage: Eukaryota; Metazoa; Arthropoda; Arachnida; Scorpiones; Buthidae.